Molecule: ribosomal RNA, 253 nt
Filed under: uncultured bacterium
Lineage: Bacteria
Description: partial 16S ribosomal RNA
Rfam family: Bacterial small subunit ribosomal RNA
Source: RNAcentral
UACAGAGGUCUCAAGCGUUGUUCGGAUUCACUGGGCGUAAAGGGUGCGUAGGCGGCGCGGUAAGUCGGGUGUGAAAUCUCGGGGCUUAACUCCGAAACUGCAUUCGAUACUGUCGGGCUUGAGGACUGGAGAGGAGACUGGAAUUCACGGUGUAGCAGUGAAAUGCGUAGAUAUCGUAAGGAAGACCAGUGGCGAAGGCGGGUCUCUGGACAGUUCCUGACGCUGAGGCACGAAGGCCAGGGGAGCAAACGGG